ACGCUCGACACCUACGGGAGCAGCAGUGGGGAAUAUUGCACAAUGGGGGAAACCCUGAUGCAGCGACGCCGCGUGAGUGAAGAAGUAUUUCGGUAUGUAAAGCUCUAUCAGCAGGGAAGAAGAUGACGGUACCUGAGUAAGAAGCCCCGGCUAACUACGUGCCAGUGCGCGGUAUACUNAGCGGCGUGCGAGNG
RNAcentral lists this ribosomal RNA (194 nucleotides) under uncultured bacterium. RNAcentral's name for it is "partial 16S ribosomal RNA". It matches the Rfam family "Bacterial small subunit ribosomal RNA", at positions 328 to 540 of the family's 1533-position model. The record is from RNAcentral.